GCUGCAGCUGGUGCUGGGCCCGCUGCACGGGCUGGCCGCCCCCGGCCGCCUCCUGGCCCACUCGCUGCAGCAGCUGGACCGCAUCGACUCCCUGAGCGAGCAGAUCUCCUUCCUGGAGGAGCAGCUGGGAUCCUGCUCCUGCAAGAAGGACCUGUGAGGCGGCAGGCACCUCCGCGGACUCCCCUCCACGGACUCCCGGCUCCUCGCCCGCCCGCCUGCCCCUGCCCCCCGGCCAGGGCCGAGGGAAGGCCCUGCUGACCCCCGGCUGGGGCCUCUCAUCCACCUGCAUCUAAAUAAAAGCGAGACGGAGGA
Condylura cristata (star-nosed mole) is the source of this 312-nucleotide long non-coding RNA. RefSeq lists it as uncharacterized. The transcript has 2 exons. Lineage: Eukaryota; Metazoa; Chordata; Mammalia; Eulipotyphla; Talpidae. The record is from RefSeq and is a predicted model, not a curated record.